GAUGAACGCUGGCGGCGUGCCUAAUACAUGCAAGUCGAGCGAACGGACGAGAAGCUUGCUUCUCUGAUGUUAGCGGCGGACGGGUGAGUAACACGUGGAUAACCUACCUAUAAGACUGGGAUAACUUCGGGAAACCGGAGCUAAUACCGGAUAAUAUUUUGAACCGCAUGAUUCAAAAGUGAAAGACGGUCUUGCUGUCACUUAUAGAUGGAUCCGCGCUGCAUUAGCUAGUUGGUAAGGUAACGGCUUACCAAGGCAACGAUGCAUAGCCGACCUGAGAGGGUGAUCGGCCACACUGGAACUGAGGCACGGUCCAGACUCCUACGGGAGGCAGCAGUAGGGAAUCUUCCGCAAUGGGCGAAAGCCUGACGGAGCAACGCCGCGUGAGUGAUGAAGGUCUUCGGAUCGUAAAACUCUGUUAUUAGGGAAGAACAUAUGUGUAAGUAACUGUGCACAUCUUGACGGUACCUAAUCAGAAAGCCACGGCUAACUACGUG
This 497-nucleotide ribosomal RNA is filed under the name uncultured bacterium. Its description in RNAcentral is "partial 16S ribosomal RNA". It matches the Rfam family "Bacterial small subunit ribosomal RNA", at positions 28 to 507 of the family's 1533-position model. The record is from RNAcentral.